This is a long non-coding RNA of Chinchilla lanigera (long-tailed chinchilla), 2977 nucleotides long. NCBI's taxonomy places the organism in Eukaryota, Metazoa, Chordata, Mammalia, Rodentia, Chinchillidae. The record is from Ensembl.
GGCUUAGGGACCAAGUUAGUUACUCACAGUUGUCAACUGGUAGCCAGACACUGCCAAACACAGCCAACAAGUUUCCCAUACAAAGGCUGAGCUCCUUGGGUGGCCCCCAUGUCCUCACGCUGACUGUAGGGCACCUCAACCGGUCCAACAGCAGCUGUACUAUUUGGUGACUGUUGCAAAACAAUACACAAGAGCCACUGCCUUAAAGGAAGGCUGGUAGAUUUGUAUUAAGUGUUUGGACUGAAAACCAUGCUCCUGGGUUUUCCUCCUUCCUGUAGGCCCUGGGUAUUUACCAGUCACAGAUCCAUUUUGUGGUCAAAGAGUGUUUUAGUUUUUUGGAAUGUCAGAAGCACUUACGUAUCAAGGGAGGAAGGAGGAUGAAGCCAGACUCAGAAGUGAAAAGUGAAUGAGGCAGGGACGAGGGAUCUUGGCCUAAAGAAUGUUUGCUUCAGUCAGAGAAAGGAGUCAUGCUGGUGAUUUUUAGUACCAGAAGUAACUAUGGAAGUUUGUUGUUUUUUUUUUACAGUGCUGGGAUUGAAUUCAGGGCCUUAUGUGUGCUAGAUAAAUACCCUACUACGUCCUUCAUGCUGGCUACAGAGAUUCUAAAGUGCUGAUGUCUUUUCUGGAAGCAGUCAGCCUCAGAGCAACCAAAUCAUUACACUGGCAACUGUACGCUCGGCAGACAUGGAGCCCAGAUCCACGCGUGGAGACUGGAGAGUACAUGCUUGCCGUGCCUGCUGCACCCUGGAUUCGCUCAUCCGUGCUCUCUGUGUUUGGGAAGAAACCAUUCUGUACUCAUCUCUCAUUUAGAAGUGGAAAAUUUGCAAAACUCUGGUCACAACUUUCCAGGAACUGGAAAGACACCUACCCAAAAAGACCAUGAUGGGGAGUGAGUCCAGAGUGUGUGAGACUUGGAGUAUAGCUCAGUGGCAGAGCAUUUGACCGCAGAAUGUGUGAGACUGAAAGAUUAAUGAAAUUUUAUUUUCAUAUUUUGCUCUUUUGAGCUAAAGUGAGCCCGUCACAAAACUCCCAGAAGGCACUCAGUCGUCUCAGAGACUGCUCGAGUUUGGACCUUAAAUUCCCCCUCAGAGGCCCAUGUGAUGAAGUCUUGGUUCCCAGCCUGGCACUACUGAGAGGCAGAGGAAACGUUAAAAGGUGGGGGCUAACCUGGAUCUUCCAUUCACUACGGGAUGCGCCACUGAAGGGGACUGUGGGAUCCCUGUCUCUUCCUCUUUCCCUAUCCCAAUCAUGAGGUAAACAGUUUUGUUCCCAUGUUCCUAUGAUGAUGUGCUGGCCCUCCAACCUUACUAGGGCCUCAAAGCAAUGGUUCUGCCUAAUCAUGGACUGAAACCCCCCACACACACUUGUAGGACAAAAUAAACCUUUUCUUUUUAUAAGUUGAUUAUCUCAGGUAUUCACUACAGUGAAGGAAAGCUAGUACUGUUCCUCUUAGAGACUGAUUUUAAUUGUGACCUUCAGGACCCAAAAGCAGUUGCCUCCAGUGAUGCCUGAGGAAGAUGCCAAGCCCACAGCCAGCCAGUGUCAAAGGCUCGCCUCUUGGAGGGCAGCCUGGCCCUGCUCGCGCAGACUCCGAAUAUUCCUGGCCCCCCAACUGGGCAAGGUCCUUGGAUGCUCAUCAGAAAUACAGCUCGCUUUUCCUUUCCAAAGUUAUUUCACACAGACCGGUCACACCUGAAAUAAUAAACUCUGAAUUACAUUUUCCAAAUCACCUGUCUCCUCGACUUCCCUCCCACCUUGUGCUGCCCACACUCACUGUAAUCUCUUGACAGAGACAUCUGUAAGCUGACCGGCCAGCGUUACCUUUCAGUGGGGUCCAGAGGACCAUUGUGAAGUUACCUAGCCUCUCAGAUCUUCAUUCUCCCAUGGAAACAGAGCUGAGUGUAGUGUCAUGAGGGUAACUUCCUACUUACCCAAAUGGGGUGCCCCUCCUUUCAUUAAGAUUUCAACUUAAAUGCGCCCCCUGUAGAGAGGCCUUUCUUGACCAUCCAAUCACUCUCUAUCACAUUUCUCUGUUGUCAUUCUUGGUGUAGCGCUGACCGUGUUUUGUAUUUGUUUGUUAUUUGUUUAUAAGCUUGUCUAUCAUCUUCUCUUACUAGAAUGAAAGUUUGCAGGAAACAUGGACUCUGUGUAUCUUGAACCCCUAGAAAAAUGCCUGGCACAUAGUAGGCUCUCAAUAAAUACCUAUUGACUCAUAUGUACAGAGGACCUAAUAUGGUGCCAGGUACUCAAUAAGUGCUCAAUAAAUGGUAAUUAUAGUUAUUACUUAUAGUCAAGCCUCUCUGAGAUGGCACAAGAUUUUGACUCAAAAAUUUUAUUGUAUUUAUAAAGGAGGUGACAGAUUUCAUGAUGUGCUAUGACUGGUGAAGCUAGUUACUCUUUCAAGGUCAGUGAAAAACCAGAAAAAUUUUGCUAUUAUUUCUAAUGUCAAAUUUAAUACAAACUGUCUGUUGCCUCUAAUUUUCAUAAAACAUGAUUACUUAGAAUUUCAUGAUGAAUUCUACCACAGUCAGACACAAACAUGCCUGCUUGAGAUCUCUCUUCAUCUCACUUUUUCCUGCCUUUCUGACCAGAGGUCACUGAAAAUUGGUUCAUUACUGCAAGCAGCCCGAAAGGAAUCUUACAGCUUUUGCUGCCCUCUCUUUUCGGGUAAAGAACAGAGUCAAUAAAUAUGAGCUAAAACCAAUAUAGCAAGAAUUAUUUUUUCCUAAAGGUGAUGUUCAAAAUUAUAUCAGAAAGAGGAGUUGCACAUAGUCUCACAAAAAGCAUAGUAGAUUUGGGCAGAGAUACUUUAGUAUAAAGUUUGUUUGUUUGGUUCUUCACUUUUCCAUUGAAGUUGAGGUGGAUAAAGGAGACAGUUUCAGGUGACUGUGGUUGAAGGCUUUGGGAUUGGUCUAGGGCUGACCUUGAGUUCCAUCACAAUGAUAGUCCAGACUCCAACACAGGAUGCUGUGUAUAA